UUAAGUAGUGCACCCACUACAUUGAAAGAACUUGCAUCCAUCCCUGCCAGUUAUGACAUUUUUUUUAAAUACCCCCCUCAACUCCACCCUUCGAGGGAGGGGAGUUCACCCCAGGAAACUCCCCUGUAUUCGUGCCUACUAAUUUUUAUUAGUGCCAUAUGCUGAAACAUGCAUCGGAAUAUUUUAUUAUCUUAUUCAAGGUAUACGUACAUGCGUCUGAAAAUAUGUUGCCGAAUUCGAUGACGUAACACUCACCUGUUUCCCAUGACGACACGGUCUUGUUCACUUUAAUGAUUGGCUCAGCAACUUCUUCCGUGAGGACUCGGAAGUCUACGGUCCUAGUCAUGAGGUUGGACUUUAAUUUGCUGUAUGCGCUGAAGACGAAUCCCGAUGUUUUGAUGGAGACACGUUUGGUCUCGGCAUAACCCAGUUUGAUACUCUGUUCACCUACGUCCUCAAUGGCCGACAAUCCUGACCCUAUAUUGUAAAGAAUAGUUGUUAAAACUAGUGCUGUUCCGAUAAUCGAUUGUAAUCGAAAAUCGAUCAGGUGUGCCUCUAGUGAUGUGAUGAUCGAUUAUGAAGUCCAUAAUCGACUGUCUUCAAAAUGUAUAUUGUACUUAGGCCUAUUCCUUGUCUAGAUAAUUAAAUAUACGUGAAAUAUGACCAUAUCAUAAUAUAAUUUACUAAUGCAAAAUACAAUCAUAACUACCUUUUUAACAAAUUCGUGUUAUCGAGAUAUAUUAGCCCUAGCAAUAUAUUAAACGAUACACCCUAAAACUACACAAAAGUGUUGAAAACGGCAAACCGAGUGAAGGGUGCUCUGCAUGAACUUUUUCGCCAUUUUUGUGACUUUUCUUUACGCUUACCCUUGUGAACGAUUAGCACAUAGACUUGUUGUGCGUCUACAUUUCUUAGUAGACUGGAACCGGAAGUGAGCCCUGCGGCUGCCUCAAGACUUUGAUACAGUGGUUCCCAAGCCCGGUCUACAGGUGAGCCCAGAUCUCCGUUUGACGAAAUUGCCAGGAUGACGUCAUCAGGUAGGGCUAGGUGGUGCGACAACAACAACACAUUAAUAUACGUUUUAGACAAAAAUAAAUAAAUUAAUUAAUUAAAAAGAUCCCAGAUCUUAUUGCUUUAAUUGCUUGCUUUUAUUUAUAGAGCUGAGGAAAACCAAGGUUAUCCUGCAAAAACGUUCGACCUUCGUUUCUUUUACAAUUUAGAAGUCUCCACGCAAGCCAUUGGAGACGUUGCCAUUUCAAGAAAUUUGUUGCAGUAGAAAGAACAGAAAUAAUGUAUUCCAGACUUCUGAUUCUCCUUUUCCUGGUGGCUGCCGUGGUGGCUAUGGCCAACGCACGGUGUACUUGUGAAGACAACCUGCAGAAGACCACGCAGAUCUACCAACAGAUAAUCAACCAGCUGAUUCAAGGAAUGUCGCAGUUUGGAGGUGCACCAAUACAAAACGCCGGAAAAUAAAUUUUGGAGGAUUGGAUUUAUCACUGUGCAGAGAUGACAAAACGAAGGAGGACUUCAUAAAACUGACACAACUGCAUGUAAUAAACCUUAUCUACAGUA
Gigantopelta aegis is the source of this 1572-nucleotide RNA transcript. RefSeq lists it as uncharacterized. The transcript is spliced from 3 exons. The record is from RefSeq and is a predicted model, not a curated record. Lineage: Eukaryota; Metazoa; Mollusca; Gastropoda; Neomphalida; Peltospiridae.